Molecule: long non-coding RNA, 446 nt
Filed under: Gossypium raimondii (Peruvian cotton)
Lineage: Eukaryota; Viridiplantae; Streptophyta; Magnoliopsida; Malvales; Malvaceae
Description: long non-coding RNA (GRAI_LNC004359)
Source: RNAcentral
AGGGCAGGAGGAGUUAAUGGAGGUUAAGUUGGGCGCCUGUCGCAGGGGAGAUGGCUCGUCCAUGUAUGUCUAAGCAUCCACCCGUAGGUCACUGUGGCUAGCCUAGCCUAGCCUAGCCAUGCCAUGCAUGUAUAAGCCAUCUUGCCGCGGCAGGACUCCAUCCAACCUCUAAAGAUGAGCAACCAUAUCCCACUUUCACCUUUUUUCAUACUGCAUAUGUAUUCUCUUUGUUUUUGUCUUCUUAGAUUGACUUUGGACAGCUCCUGUACUGAAGGUUGAACCCUGAACUUUGGGUCCAGUUGAAAUUUUUUUUUGUCCAAGUUGGCAAUUCCAUUGCUUUAUGAUGAGAGGUUGAGGUUUAUAGGUUGACCUCUGGUUGGUUGCCAUAUAUCCUUCACUUUCAAAACAAUUGAACACAGUAAAGUGGGAUAAUGAAUUUUUUACCC